This 465-nucleotide ribosomal RNA is filed under the name uncultured bacterium. RNAcentral's name for it is "partial 16S ribosomal RNA". It matches the Rfam family "Bacterial small subunit ribosomal RNA", at positions 28 to 507 of the family's 1533-position model. The record is from RNAcentral.
GACGAACGCUGGCGGCGUGCUUAACACAUGCAAGUCGUACGGUAAGGCCCUUUCGGGGGUACACGAGUGGCGAACGGGUGAGUAACACGUGAGUAACCUGCCCACAACUUUGGGAUAACGCUAGGAAACUGGUGCUAAUACUGGAUAUGUGCUCCUGCUGCAUGGUGGGGGUUGGAAAGCUCCGGCGGUUGUGGAUGGACUCGCGGCCUAUCAGCUUGUUGGUGGGGUAGUGGCCUACCAAGGCGGCGACGGGUAGCCGGCCUGAGAGGGUGACCGGCCACAUUGGGACUGAGAUACGGCCCAGACUCCUACGGGAGGCAGCAGUGGGGAAUAUUGCACAAUGGGCGCAAGCCUGAUGCAGCAACGCCGCGUGCGGGAUGACGGCCUUCGGGUUGUAAACCGCUUUCAGCAGGGACGAAGCUUUUUGUGACGGUACCUGCAGAAGAAGCACCGGCUAACUACGUC